CGCCUAAAAGCUAGCCUCAACAAUUAAAUUCCACUAUUACGCGACUAAAAACUUGUAAUAAAUUUAAAUAAAACAUUUUAACCCCUAAGUAUGGGCGACAAAAAAGGAAAAAAGAGCAACAGAUAAAGUACCGCAAGGGAACGCUGAAAAAGAAAUGAAAUAAACUAUUAAAGCCUAGAACAGCAAAGCUAACCACUUGUACCUUUUGCAUCAUGAUUUAGCAAGUAAACUACAAGCAAAGAGCUCUUUAGUUUGUAACCCCGAAACUGAGCGAGCUACUCCAAGACAGCCUAUAUAAAUAGAUAAGGGCAAAUCCGUCUCUGUGGCAAAAGAGUGGAAAGAGCUUUGAGUAGAGGUGACAAACCUACCGAGCACAGUUAUAGCUGGUUGCCUGGGAAAUGAAUAGAAGUUCAGCCCUUUAAGUUUCCCCCGUCCCCUAAGUAAUUACUAAAAAUGAUAAAGGAAACUAAAGGAGUUAAUCAAAAGGGGUACAGCCCUUCUGAUAGAAGAAACAACUUUAAUAGGUGACUCAAGAUCAUAUUAUUCAAGGACUUCAAUUUAAGUGGGCCUAAAAGCAGCCAUCUCAAUAGAAAGCGUUAAAGCUCAAAUUAACCCUUGUCCUUAUAUUCUGAUAUACUAUCUCCCUCCCUACCCACUUACCAGGCUGUCUUAUGCCCCCAUAAGAACAAUUAUGCUAAAAUGAGUAAUAAGAAGAAUUUAAUUCUUCUCCUAGCACAUGUGUACGUUGGAACGGACCCCCCACCAACAAUUAACCGACCCCAAACCCAGAGGGACUUAAAUUAUAUAAACAAGAAAAACACUUAUUAUAAAUCGUUAACCCCACACAGGUGUGCCCUAAGGAAAGACUAAAAGAGAAGGAAGGAACUCGGCAAACACAAGCCUCGCCUGUUUACCAAAAACAUCACCUCUUGUUACACAAAAUAUAAGAGGCCCCGCCUGCCCUGUGACAAUAGUUUAACGGCCGCGGUAUUUUAACCGUGCGAAGGUAGCGUAAUCACUUGUCUUUUAAAUGGAGACCAGUAUGAAUGGCAUCACGAGGGCUUAACUGUCUCCCCUCUCCAGUCAAUGAAAUUGACCUUCCCGUGCAGAGGCGGGAAUAUUAAUAUAAGACGAGAAGACCCUGUGGAGCUUUAGACCUAAAAUACACCACGUCUAGUAUACUAUAACACCAGUAAAAGCCUAGUGGUUACAUAUUGAAGUGUCUUUGGUUGGGGCGACCGCGGGGUAAAACACAACCCCCUUGUGGACUGGGGAUAUUAUCCCUAAUACUCAGAGCCUCUACUCCAAGUAACAGAAAUUCUGACUUUCUGAUCCGGUAUUACCGAUCAACGAACCGAGUUACCCCAGGGAUAACAGCGCAAUCCCCUCUCAGAGCCCUUAUCGACGAGGGGGUUUACGACCUCGAUGUUGGAUCAGGACAUCCUAAUGGUGCAGCCGCUAUUAAGGGUUCGUUUGUUCAACGAUUAAAGUCCUACGUGAUCUGAGUUCAGACCGGAGUAAUCCAGGUCAGUUUCUAUCUAUAAAAAGCUCUUUUCUAGUACGAAAGGACCUAAAAAAGGAGGCCCAUGCCUAAAGUACGCCUCUCCCCCAACCACUGAAACCUAAUAAAGUGGACAAGGGGGCUUAAAAAUUUCCCAAAAAACAUGGGCUUA
Molecule: ribosomal RNA, 1673 nt
Filed under: Antimora microlepis (finescale mora)
Lineage: Eukaryota; Metazoa; Chordata; Actinopteri; Gadiformes; Moridae
Description: 16S ribosomal RNA
Rfam family: Bacterial large subunit ribosomal RNA
Source: RNAcentral